UACGGAGGGUGCAAGCGUUGUCCGGAUUUAUUGGGUUUAAAGGGUGCGCAGGUGGGUAUUUAAGUCUGGUUUGAAAGCAGGUGGCUCAACCAUCUGAUGUGGCUGGAAACUGGAUAUCUUGAAUGGGUUGGCGGUAGCCGGAAUGGGUCAUGUAGCGGUGAAAUGCAUAGAUAUGACCCGGAACACCGAUUGCGAAGGCAGGCUACUACGACUUGAUUGACACUGAGGCACGAGAGCAUGGGUAGCGAACAGGG
This 254-nucleotide ribosomal RNA is filed under the name uncultured bacterium. Its description in RNAcentral is "partial 16S ribosomal RNA". It matches the Rfam family "Bacterial small subunit ribosomal RNA", at positions 524 to 777 of the family's 1533-position model. The record is from RNAcentral.